AAUAUUCGGUUGCUAAAUAGUAUAAUAUCCCUUCGUUAAUACUAAAACAAAAUUAAUCCCAAAAAGAACGUAUGUUUCCCUUAAUUUUUCCCACGCCCACCCCUCUAAAUAAAUAAAUAAUAAAGAAAAAAAAGCCUCGAAUCAAACAGAACAACCUAGCAAUAGAAACUGCCAAGUCUUCAUCUCGCAGACUCAAAAUUCUUAUUCUCUAAGGCGUAUCUUUAUUUGAAAUCAGUGGAUAAAUUGUAGUGCUUGGUGAUAUACUUUUUCUACUUUCAGUUUUUUGUAAUUUGAUAUUCUCUCAUGAUUUCUCUUUAUUUCUUAUGUGUAGAAUCUUUAGAAUUAGCUUCAAAAUUUUACUGGGCCGCAUAGGAAUAAGCUCGAGAUUCUGUCGCCACAAAUUAGGAAACGCAGAGAUAUUCUAAGAGAGCUUCAGGUGCGUUCUUGGUUCAAUUUCGAAAUUUUUCUCUGUUCUUCUUACUUUUCUUGUGAUAUUUAAUUUGUGAAAAUUUAUCUGUGAUGGUUGUGUUAAAUUGGUGAAGGAUUGUUAUAAUAACUUAUAGCCCUAAUUGUUUUGGGAUCUAUUGUAGAUUGCACUUUUAUAGUUGUCCAUGGAAAUUCUCACCAGCUGUUCGACUAAUUUCCUGAAUGAAUAUUGAAACCUUAGAACUAGCAUCUUUCAUCCCAAGUGCUAAAUACACUCUAAGAACUUUUUUCAGUCAAUAGUUUUUGCAAUACGUGUUUUAAUUUUCAGUAAUACAUAUUUUAAUAAAGAAAUAUAAUAUCUUCUCAAAAAUUUGAUAAACUACAAAAUAUUGUACCAUAUAGCAACAUAAUUGCCUUGUAGAGGCAACAUAAAAAAUGAUAGAUACCAGAAAAGUAGAGUAAUAUUAGCACUGAAAAGGAAAAUAAUAAUGGAAUACAACACUGAAAGAUCCUAAGACCCACCUUCUUAGAAACAGUCAAAUACUAUAGCAUUUGAAAUACUACCACAGUUAGCCAAUUUCAAUAAGUAAUAAUUUUUGAGCUAGAAAACUGACACCUCGAAAAGUUUCCACGAAAGGUAAAUAAGGUAAGAGCACAACAAGUAGUAGCCAAAUAAUAAGAUUAUAAAUGCAGCUGCAAUGCAAGCUUUACAUUCAUUUUAAGACUCUAGUAAUCAUGGUUACUCUAUUUUUCAGUGUAUGUCUUCUUAUAAGAAAGUACAGUGAGCAAAUCAAACAUAUUUAGCAACAAAAAGAACAGUUGUAGGGAUCAUCAAAUCGAAAGAACUUUAUUCGUCAUGAGCAUGUUGUAAAUAAUUUUUCGUUAAUUCCUUUUAAUUGGGAUUAUUUUUCGACUUUCUUCUAAUUCUAGAGGUGUUGGAAAAUAUAUUUUGAGGCUGAUAAAAGGGGUUUUUUUUAAGCUGCUGAUUGUGAUGCUUCAUUGACUGAGGAGACUGAAUGACCAGUGAGAAAGGACACUCUUAAAUUUAUUUUUUGAAUCUAUUUUAUUCUGCUUUUAUAAUUGAAUGACCAUUGCACUACUUAGAGGAAGGUAAAGUGAUUAUAGUGCUAGUGGAGUGUGUAAAGGUGGAGUAUUUGCAGUGCUAGUGGAGAGUACUUUGACAGAAAUAGCUCAUGUUCCUUUUAUUUUUUCAAAUGCUUUUGCUUGUUUCAGUAAUUGAUUUACUGACUCACAUGAGUUUUUCCAAUAAAAUGUAUCCCUUACAAUAUUAUCAACUUAUCACAUGGGAAUCUGUAAAAUCCUAGGUGGACAUAGGUAAUUUUGAACUCUAUCAAAUUCAAGUUGAUUUCCGUUGUAGUAUAACUCAUGUAUCUCAUGCUGAAAAGGAUAUAUGGCAUUAUUAUAAAUUGUAUUUGACGAUUCAUUUGAUGCUUUACCCUACAUCAUUAGGAUAAGAGUAUCGAAAAGGGGGACUGUGUGAAUGAAGAAUCGCAGGUUACUAAAUGCUCUAAUUUUCUUAUAUAUACUUAAAGGAUCUUAUGAUCCAACCCUUGUUUUCUCUCUUUCUCGCAUCUCCUCCAUGCGUUCUCCUAACUCACUCUAGCUUGUUGGGAGAAAUAUGUCCUUUGCAACUUAGCAAUUGCAUUUCUAGAAAAUUUUUUCACAUACUCUCAACUUGUUUGUGCAGCCAGCCAUCUUGUGAUGCUUUUGCUGAAAUUUCUCAUGUGGGAAUCCAACUCUCUUAUUUUUAAUUGUUAUUUAUUUCUUUUCUUUGGGUCAUAUGGGGGAUCUGCAUGACCGUGAGGUUGUUGUGCAGUUAUUGGAUUAUAUAUUUUUUUUACUUGUUCUUUUCCUCCUGAACACUUGGACAGAAUCCUAUUUUGUACACCAAUGACUAUCUUUUGAAAUCUGAAUAUUUCAGUCUCGUGGCAUGUGAUGUAUAAUGUGUAAAUUUUCUAUGCACAAACACAUUGAACACAUGUAAUUACAUCUCUGUAGUUCUAACGUACAUUUGGUGAAGUUAUUGUGCUCCUUGCUCUCAGGGUAAUAGUAUCCUGGCAGAUUAUGCCUCCGAGCAGGUUGAAUUUAUUGCUCUUUCGCAAAGGACAGGAGAUCCAAAGUAUCAACAGAAGAUAUGUGCCAAUAAAAUUUCUCAAAAAAUAUAACUUCUUGAUAGCUACUAGUAAAUAAAACUACAAUUCUAAAUUUAGCAUGGCAGACAAUUGAUUAAGCUACACAUACUUGAAAUCAGUAUUCUGCUAGUGACCAAAUGGCAUAUGUUACUAUUUCAGGUGGAGAAUAUUAUCUUAGAACUUAAUAGAACUUUUUCAGAUGAUGGUUUACUUCCAAUAUACAUUUAUCCGGAGAGAGAGAGAGAUAACAUUAUAGUCCACUUUUUCAGAUGAUGAUAAGAAAACUAAAGUUUGAAGAAGCUGUCCUUGAAGAAAGUGCAGAGCAAGUAGCAACUGAAAAAGCUAAAGAACAAGUUGAACUAGAAGGGGAGCCUAUUUUCUCUUUUGUUAGGAGUUUGUUAAGAGUUGUUUAAAAGAUUUUCUAUUUGUAAUACUACAAUCUAUUUUCUGUUUUGUUAGGAGAUGCAAGUAUAUUGUCCAUUUUGGAUAGGUAUAUAUUUGGUAGUGUUUUGUUUUUGUUCCUUGUAAUUAACUGUGAAAUUUAUAGAAAUAUUGAUUAUUUCUUA
Molecule: non-coding RNA, 3145 nt
Organism: Nicotiana tabacum (common tobacco)
Lineage: Eukaryota; Viridiplantae; Streptophyta; Magnoliopsida; Solanales; Solanaceae
Source: RefSeq, a predicted model, not a curated record